ACACAUAAGCUCUUUUUCGAGUUAAGCUGCAUUCGAUUUGAGGCCAUGCAGCUGGACCGUGCACCACUUUAACUUAUUUAAAUGUAAGAUGCAAUUUAUUUUAAUUUUAUUUGGAAUCGUCGAAACUGAAAAUGCACCGGAAGUGACGACACAACUUUCACUUUCAUCCGCGCUCACAAAACGUAAGCUCAUGGAAGAGAAUGAACUAUAAAUUGCGCGCGAGUCUCUUUGAAAGACGUCUCGUGUGUUGGCGGUGAACCGUGGCCCGUCGACGUCACCUGAGAGUGUUGAGAUGGACUUACCAGUGGAGGCAACGGUGCGCUUGGACCUCUUCCCCAACAGGGCGGAGGUGCGAGACGUCCUCAGGUCGCAUGGCUUGGCGUUGACGGACGUGAGCAGCGAUCGGGUGCGCGUGAAGGGCUCCCUUUGGAGCCUGAGGGCCGCGAGGGCCCCCUUGGAAGCGCUUUUCAGCAGGCGAGCCAUCUCUCGGGAUCCAGAGGCUUCCUCCGGAGCCAUUUCCAAACGCCCCGCCGCCGAGCGCUCAGCGCCCCGAGACCAGCCUCCGCGUGCUUCGCCGCCCUCUCCGGGCGCCACCUCGUCUUGGGCUUCUCCACCCGUCAAACAUCCAUCCUCUCCAGAUCACGGAGCUUCCGUUUCUCCACCACCGGACCAGCGCGGCUCCUCCGGGCCCAGAAGAGAGUCCGUUGUGGUCGACGUGGACGUUUUCAGGUACGCAGACCGGCUCCGUAAAAAGAACAUUGAAGAAAUUCUGUCCAGCCAUAAUGUGGAAAUGGAAGCGCAGGAAGUCGGCGAAAGCUGCGUCGUCGCUUUACUGGGGAAGAGCGCAAGAACAGCUGCCGGCAAACUGCAGAGCCUCAUGAAUGAUCUCAGCGUAUCGCUGCGCACACAGGACGUUCCUCUGGAGGACAUGGGUCGGGAAGGUCACGCUCUUUCCACGAGGAUUCGUGGAAAGGGAGACGUUCACCAGUCGGUGGUGGUGUGGCCGCUGAACGACAAGCUUCACCUGAUAGGGCCGUCCGCCGAGAGCCACCAGUUGAAGCAGAGGCUGCUGGGUAGGGCGGACGGAUGCGCGGCGAGGACAGCGGAGACAAACUCCAGGAGUAGAAGCAGCUCUCUGCCGGUCCAACGCAAGGACACAGGGGGGGAUGGCGGCGCCGUGGCGAGGUACCAGGGGGUCUGAAGCGAAAGGAUAUAAGGAAGAAGUGAGGAUCCUUGAGAAAAUGAAAGAUGAUGAGUGAAGUGCUCUUCGUGAAGGCAGAGACAGCACUCAACACGUUCUCUUUGCACUACGUUGACGUUGUUAGCACUAUAUCUUCUUCCUGUUAGGAGUCGAAUGGCGUCGUCUUGUUGUCUAACAGGUGUGAGUACGCGGUGAUUCAUAGUCAGAUUAGGGACGAUAGCAAUUACUGAUUUAUGUCUGAGGAAGUUGCAGUUUAUUGCUUUGUUAGAGUUCAGAAGAAAAAAAAAACGCCACUUAAGCGUCUAUUUACAGAAAAUAUGAAGCUAUGUAUCGUUAGCAACUGGUUAGCUUAGCACACACAGGGGGGAGGUGCAAACUUUGCCCUCCAGAACCAUCUAGAGCUUCAACCGGUGAUGUCCUGGGAACAAAGCCCGCUGUUUCCAGCGGUAGCCUGUUUCUAUUUGUACACAGAUACAGCAAUAUACCGUAUUUGUAAUAAAUCGACAUAGGAAAAGGAUGUUGUUUAGUCUUUUUUAAAGACUCCUUCCUUAUUGAUGAAGUGUAACAUUUGAAUGGUUCUGUCGGAUUAAUGUUGUUGUGUUGUUAUGUAUUCAGACCUCAACCUGAACAGACGGUUACGAAAUCAGCCUGAGAAUAUAUCAAGGAUUAGAGGACUUAUGUCUCAACAAGAUUUGGAAAAACUUGUCCAUGCAUUCCAAUCAAACAAAGAACUUACUUCAAAUCCUGCACUUGGUUCAUAAAGCACUGAAGGGUUUAGGCCCAGUGGUUCUGAUCUGCUGAAUUGUGGUACUUUCAACUACACUGCAAAUUGUACUCUAUUUUAGUUUUUAACAUUGUCAUUUUUAUCUUUUAUGUUUCAAUGAAUGUUCUUAACUGUUUUUAAAUAUCUUUGCUUUUGUGUUUGUUUUGGAUAUUUUAUGUGAAGCACUUUGAAUUGCUUCACAUAAAAUAUUCUGUACAAAUAAAAUUGCCCUGCCUUAGUGCAAUAAACUGAUAUUAUACUGACUGAAAUAUGAUAUGCUUCUGAUAUCGAACGUUCUACUCUAAUCAAGCAAAAAUAACAUUCAUUCAAGUUGUUUUGCUCACGCCAGUUAUUAUCUGAUAUAAAUCUCCUGUGUUUUGUUAUUGCCAGUUGCUCUGACUAUAAACGUCGCUGAUGAACUGAAUGGCUAAGACAAAAUUUAUGUGAAUUGUAAAGACUGAAGAAUAAAUAUAGCGAUUCAUUCAAUACUAACUGUCAUAGUUACGUUAUCUGGUCGUCACUUGUAGCUGUUUUUUAUUUCUCCAUUUUUCUAAUCAUAACUAGUGUUUAUGUUGCACAAUUAGUUUUGUGUUCUACUGGGAGCAGAGCAGCCUGACAGCAGCAGCAUGGGAGGACCUGCGGCCCCUCUCCUUCACACACAGGGGGGCAGAAGGAGCU
This is a long non-coding RNA of Gasterosteus aculeatus aculeatus (three-spined stickleback), 2642 nucleotides long. The record is from Ensembl. NCBI's taxonomy places the organism in Eukaryota, Metazoa, Chordata, Actinopteri, Perciformes, Gasterosteidae.